RNAcentral lists this non-coding RNA (228 nucleotides) under Candidatus Accumulibacter. Lineage: Bacteria; Pseudomonadati; Pseudomonadota; Betaproteobacteria. The record is from RNAcentral.
GAAGGACUACUUGCUUCAGGUUUCCCGAGGGCUAUUGCCCGAGGGAUGAAAUGGGAAGCCGGUGUUUCGAGCCUGUUCCACAGGCCGAGAGCAUCCCGGCGCUGCCCCCGCAACGGUAAACGAGAGCAAGGAACUGCAACACGCCACUGUGCAACAGCAUGGGAAGGCGCAGAUCCAGGGAUUUUCCCGCUCGUGAGCCCGGAGACCUGCCUGAGGCAUGCGGAUCGG